CCCUUCCGGUCUUCGAGACCGCAUCUUCAACUCGCCGCAGGACCCCACGAAAGUGGCCAGAAAUGCGGACGAGGCGAAGUAACCCUUGACUAUGAGUACCUUUUGUUCCCUCGGCGGGCUCGCGCCCGUCGCUGGGCCCAUCCAAACCCCUUUGCAGUAGCAGUAUACCUCUGAUCGUGGGCACUUGAAUCUUUACAACUUUCAACAACGGAUCUCUUGGUUCUGGCAUCGAUGAAGAACGCAGCGAAAUGCGAUAAGUAGUGUGAAUUGCAGAAUUCAGUGAAUCAUCGAAUCUUUGAACGCACAUUGCGCCCCUCGGUAUUCCGUGGGGCAUGCCUGUUCGAGCGUCAUUACACCCCUCAAGCUCUGCUUGGUGUUGGGCCUCUGUCGCGCCUCUUCCGGCGCCGACUGGCCUCAAAUGCUCUGGCAGCCUCCUCGCCGGCCCUCUCAGCGCAGCAGUACGCGCCUGCGAGCCGGCGGGAGCGCCGCCUCCACCUAAGACUCCCCCGAGUUUGACCUCGAAUCAGGCAGGGAUACCCGCUGAACUUAAGCAUAUCAAUAAGCGAGGAAUCGUAGCCUUGGUCAUUUAGAGGAAGUAAAAGUCGUAACAAGGUUUCCGUAGGUGAACCUGCGGAAGGAUCAUUAAGAGACGUUGCCCUUCGGGGUAUACCUCCCACCCUUUGUUUAUUAUACCUUUGUUGCUUUGGCGGGCCCGUCCUCGGACCACCGGCUUCUGCUGGUCAGUGCCCGCCAGAGGACCUAAAACUCUGUUGUUAAUAUUGUCUGAGUACUAUAUAAUAGUUA
RNAcentral lists this unclassified non-coding RNA (804 nucleotides) under soil metagenome. RNAcentral's name for it is "partial contains internal transcribed spacer 1, 5.8S ribosomal RNA, and internal transcribed spacer 2". The stretch from base 197 to 350 matches the Rfam family "5.8S ribosomal RNA". The record is from RNAcentral.